AUACUUACCUGGCAGGGGAGAUACCAUGAUCACGAAGGUAGUUUUCCCAGGGUGAGGCUUAUCCAUUGCACUCUGGAUGUGCGGACCCCUGCGGUUUCCCCAAAUGUGGGAAACUCAACUGCAUAAUUUGUGGUAUUGGGGGACUGCAUUUGCACUCUCCCC
Molecule: small nuclear RNA, 162 nt
Filed under: Echinops telfairi (small Madagascar hedgehog)
Lineage: Eukaryota; Metazoa; Chordata; Mammalia; Afrosoricida; Tenrecidae
Description: U1 spliceosomal RNA (ENSETEG00000021685.1)
Rfam family: U1 spliceosomal RNA
About the family: U1 is a small nuclear RNA (snRNA) component of the spliceosome (involved in pre-mRNA splicing).
Source: RNAcentral